UUUCCGUAGGUGAACCUGCGGAAGGAUCAUUAUCGUACAAAAUGUGAGGGGCAUGCGAGGGCUGUCGCUGACUCAAAAGUCGUGCACGCCCGAGUGUGUCCUCUUGCAUAAUAAUCCAUCUCACCCUUUGUGCACCACCGCGUGGGCACCCUUCGGGAUCAUCUCGGAGGGGGGCUCGCGUUUUCACACAAACCCCCCUUUUAAAAGUGUAGAAUGACCACAUUUAUGCAAUCAAUACAACUUUCAACAACGGAUCUCUUGGCUCUC
This 267-nucleotide unclassified non-coding RNA is filed under the name plant metagenome. RNAcentral's name for it is "partial contains small subunit ribosomal RNA, internal transcribed spacer 1, and 5.8S ribosomal RNA". The record is from RNAcentral.